GGCGGCAUAGCUCAGCUGGCAGAGCAAACGGCUCAUAUCCGUUGUGUCAUUGGUUCAAUCCCAAUUGCCGCUA
RNAcentral lists this transfer RNA (73 nucleotides) under Spirochaetaceae bacterium. RNAcentral's name for it is "tRNA-Met". It matches the Rfam family "tRNA". Rfam says of the family: Transfer RNA (tRNA) molecules are approximately 80 nucleotides in length. Their secondary structure includes four short double-helical elements and three loops (D, anti-codon, and T loops). Lineage: Bacteria; Pseudomonadati; Spirochaetota; Spirochaetia; Spirochaetales; Spirochaetaceae. The record is from RNAcentral.